RNAcentral lists this ribosomal RNA (254 nucleotides) under uncultured bacterium. RNAcentral's name for it is "partial 16S ribosomal RNA". It matches the Rfam family "Bacterial small subunit ribosomal RNA", at positions 524 to 776 of the family's 1533-position model. The record is from RNAcentral.
UACGUAGGGUGCAAGCGUUGUCCGGAAUUAUUGGGCGUAAAGAGCUCGUAGGCGGUUUGGUAAGUUGGAUGUGAAAUCUCCAGGCUCAACUUGGAGGGGUCAUUCGAUACUGCCAUGACUAGAGUUCGGUAGGGGAGUGUGGAAUUCCUGGUGGAGCGGUGAAAUGCGCAGAUAUCAGGAGGAACACCCGUAGCGAAGGCGGCACUCUGGGCCGGAACUGACGCUGAGGAGCGAAAGCGUGGGGAGCAAACGGG